GAUGAACGCUGGCGGCGUGCUUAACACAUGCAAGUCGAACGAAGACAUCUGAGUGCUUGCACUUGGAUGGACUGAGUGGCGGACGGGUGAGUAACGCGUGGGUAACCUGCCUUAUACAGGGGGAUAACAGUUGGAAACGACUGCUAAUACCGCAUAAGCGCACGGUAUCGCAUGAUACAGUGUGAAAAACUCCGGUGGUAUAAGAUGGACCCGCGUCUGAUUAGCUUGUUGGUGAGGUAACGGCUCACCAAGGCGACGAUCAGUAGCCGGCCUGAGAGGGUGAACGGCCACAUUGGGACUGAGACACGGCCCAAACUCCUACGGGAGGCAGCAGUGGGGAAUAUUGCACAAUGGGGGAAACCCUGAUGCAGCGACGCCGCGUGAGUGAUGAAGUAUUUCGGUAUGUAAAACUCUAUCAGCAGGGAAGAUA
This 430-nucleotide ribosomal RNA is filed under the name uncultured bacterium. Its description in RNAcentral is "bacterial SSU rRNA". It matches the Rfam family "Bacterial small subunit ribosomal RNA", at positions 28 to 450 of the family's 1533-position model. The record is from RNAcentral.